This 64-nucleotide transfer RNA is filed under the name Rhodopsalta microdora. RNAcentral describes it as "tRNA-Phe". It matches the Rfam family "tRNA". From Rfam's summary of the family: Transfer RNA (tRNA) molecules are approximately 80 nucleotides in length. The record is from RNAcentral. Lineage: Eukaryota; Metazoa; Arthropoda; Insecta; Hemiptera; Cicadidae.
AUUUAAAUAGCUUAAUUGUAGAGCAUAAUAUUGAAGAUAUUAAGGUAACUUUUGUUUUUAAAUA